Molecule: transfer RNA, 67 nt
Filed under: Sphaeroderma sp. BMNH 846647
Lineage: Eukaryota; Metazoa; Arthropoda; Insecta; Coleoptera; Chrysomelidae
Description: tRNA-Trp
Source: RNAcentral
AAGGAUUUAAGUUAAAUCAAACUUUUAACCUUCAAAGUUGAAUACAGAUAUUAAAAUCUAAGCCUUA